RNAcentral lists this ribosomal RNA (1519 nucleotides) under human gut metagenome. Its description in RNAcentral is "bacterial LSU rRNA". It matches the Rfam family "Bacterial large subunit ribosomal RNA", at positions 1259 to 2772 of the family's 2925-position model. The record is from RNAcentral.
GUGCUGUGAGGCAUGCUGGAGGUAUCAGAAGUGCGAAUGCUGACAUAAGUAACGAUAAAGCGGGUGAAAAGCCCCCUCGCCGAAAGCGCAAGGUUUCCUACGCAACGUUCAUCGGCGUAGGGUGAGUCGGCCCCUAAGGCGAGGCAGAGAUGCGUAGCUGAUGGGAAACAGGUCAAUAUUCCUGUACCGAUCAAUAGUGCGAUGUGGGGACGGAGAAGGUUAGCUCAGCCAACUGUUGGAUAUGUUGGUUCAAGCGUGUAGUCGUGCUCUUUAGGCAAAUCCGGAGAGCUUAGAUGAGGCGUGAUAACGAGUCUGCUUGCAGACGAAGUGAGUGAUACCCUGCUUCCAAGAAAAGCCACUAAGCUUCAGCUAUUGACGACCGUACCGCAAACCGACACUGGUGCGCGAGAUGAGUAUUCUAAGGCGCUUGAGAGAACUCUGGAGAAGGAACUCGGCAAAUUGACACCGUAACUUCGGAAGAAGGUGUGCCUUUAGUAGGUGAACCUGUACAAGGGGAGCCCAAUGAGGCCGCAGAGAAUCGGUGGCUGCAACUUGUUUAAUUAAAAACACAGCACUCUGACAAAGACGAAAGUCGACGUAUAGGGUGUGACUCCUGCCCGGUGCUGGAAGAUUAAAUGAUGGGGUGCAAGCUCUUGACUGAAGUCCCRGUAAACGGCGGCCGUAACUAUAACGGUCCUAAGGUAGCGAAAUUCCUUGUCGGGUAAGUUCCGACCUGCACGAAUGGMGUAAYGAUGGCCACACUGUCUCCUCCMGAGACUCAGCGAAGUUGAARUGUUUGUGAUGAUGCAAUCUCCCCGCGGCUAGACGGAAAGACCCCAUGAACCUUUACUGUAGCUUUGCAUUGGACUUUGAACCGAUCUGUGUAGGAUAGGUGGGAGGCUUUGAAACCGGGACGCUAGUUUCGGUGGAGCCGUCCUUGAAAUACCACCCUGGUUUGUUUGAGGUUCUAACCUUGGCCCGUGAAUCCGGGUCGGGGACAGUGCAUGGUAGGCAGUUUGACUGGGGCGGUCUCCUCCCAAAGUGUAACGGAGGAGUUCGAAGGUACGCUUGGUACGGUCGGACAUCGUACCUAAAGUGCAAUGGCAAAAGCGUGCUUAACUGCGAGACCGACAAGUCGAGCAGGUGCGAAAGCAGGACAUAGUGAUCCGGUGGUUCUGAAUGGAAGGGCCAUCGCUCAACGGAUAAAAGGUACUCCGGGGAUAACAGGCUGAUACCGCCCAAGAGUUCAUAUCGACGGCGGUGUUUGGCACCUCGAUGUCGGCUCAUCACAUCCUGGGGCUGAAGUAGGUCCCAAGGGUAUGGCUGUUCGCCAUUUAAAGUGGUACGCGAGCUGGGUUUAGAACGUCGUGAGACAGUUCGGUCUCUAUCUAUCGUGGGCGUAUGAAAUUUGCGUGGCUCUGACACUAGUACGAGAGGACCGUGUUGGACUGACCUCUGGUUUACCGGUUGUGCCGCCAGGUGCAUCGCCGGGUAUCUAAGUCGGGAUUGGAUAAGUGCU